RNAcentral lists this ribosomal RNA (420 nucleotides) under bacterium. RNAcentral describes it as "partial 16S ribosomal RNA". It matches the Rfam family "Bacterial small subunit ribosomal RNA", at positions 355 to 776 of the family's 1533-position model. The record is from RNAcentral.
UGGGGGAUAUUGCACAAUGGGCGAAAGCCUGAUGCAGCGACGCCGCGUGGGGGAUGAAGGCUUUCGGGUUGUAAACCUCUUUCGCUAUCGAACAAGGCCCGCUUAGGGUGGGUUGAGGGUAGGUGGAGAAGAAGCGCCGGCUAACUACGUGCCAGCAGCCGCGGUAAUACGUAGGGCGCGAGCGUUGUCCGGAAUUAUUGGGCGUAAAGGGCUUGUAGGCGGGUUGUUGCGCAUGCGGUGAAAACGCGGGGCUUAACUUCGCGCGUGCAGUGGGUACGGGCAGGCUUAAGUGUGGUAGGGGUGACUGGGAUUCCAGGUGUAGCGGUGGAAUGCGCGGAUAUCUGGAGGAACACAGAUGGCGAAGGCAGGUCACUGGGCCAUUACUGACGCUGAGGAGCGAAAGCAUGGGUAGCGAACAGG